GAUGAACGCUGGCGGCGUGCCUAAUACAUGCAAGUCGAGCGAACAGACGAGGAGCUUGCUCCUCUGACGUUAGCGGCGGACGGGUGAGUAACACGUGGAUAACCUACCUAUAAGACUGGGAUAACUUCGGGAAACCGGAGCUAAUACCGGAUAAUAUAUUGAACCGCAUGGUUCAAUAGUGAAAGACGGUUUUGCUGUCACUUAUAGAUGGAUCCGCGCCGCAUUAGCUAGUUGGUAAGGUAACGGCUUACCAAGGCAACGAUGCGUAGCCGACCUGAGAGGGUGGUCGGCCACACUGGAACUGAGGCACGGUCCAGACUCCUACGGGAGGACGCAGUAGGGAAUCUUCCGCAAUGGGCGAAUGCCUGACGGAGCAACGCCGCGUGAGUGAUGAAGGUCUUCGGAUCUUAGAACUCUGUUAUUAGGGAAGAACAAAUGUGUAAGUAACUAUGCACGUCUUGACGGUACCUAAUCAGAAAGCCACGGCUAACUACGUG
Molecule: ribosomal RNA, 497 nt
Filed under: uncultured bacterium
Lineage: Bacteria
Description: partial 16S ribosomal RNA
Rfam family: Bacterial small subunit ribosomal RNA
Source: RNAcentral